Molecule: long non-coding RNA, 2109 nt
Organism: Galleria mellonella (greater wax moth)
Lineage: Eukaryota; Metazoa; Arthropoda; Insecta; Lepidoptera; Pyralidae
Exons: 3
Source: RefSeq, a predicted model, not a curated record
UACGACGUAUGCGACGCAAAGCGACAGGCUGAAAACAAAAUAAAUAGCGAUGUCAAAUUACAGCAUUCCAGUUUAUCACGAUAGGAUAAGCCUCGUAUGUUAGAGGGCCGACCAACCGUGACAAACAAACAUCAGAGUCAACGACAUCCACCCGAACAUAUAGGCACUUUCAGUUUCGUGAAAUCGAAAGCGCCACAUACGUCUCCCGCACACUACAAGACGCGCCAUUUUAGCCAAGAUGGCGGCGAAAAAACUAGCUAAUCCGUCACGGCGGCUUGCGCCUGCGCAGUUCUAUUCACUAAUUUGUCACUUGUGGAGUUUUGCUGUCACAUGAGGGGUAACAUGUCUUCAGAUUUUGCUACAAAUAAGUAUUUCCUAAAUGAUAGUAAAAAAAUUACUGACAUCAAAAAAUCUUCAUUAUGUUCCUCAAUUUGCUGCUAUUUUUGUUCUCGCUGGAUUUUCGACGAAUACAACACUAUGACCGAAAAUUUAGAUAGACGAGUAUAGAACAAAAAUUGUGUACAAACAAAAAUAUUUAAAUGAAACGCGAGGUAAUCACUGUACAACAGCGUAGUUAUUAAGACAGUCCAAUUGACCAUAAUUCAUAUUAUUUACCUGCUAAAUAACUAAUUACUAGCUAAAUAAUAAAAAUAUAAGCUAAUUUAAGCUAAACUUAGGCGAUCAACAAAAUCAAAUUUAUUACUCGUACAUUCCCUACAAGAUGAACUAGCACAAAAUUUGAUAUAUACAGUACGUAAGAAAGUGCAGUGACCCACGACAGAGAAAUGCAACCAACACCUGACCACGGCUCGCAAACGUGAAAGUGUGCCCACUUCUCUAAUUACCACAAUCUCAACUUACCAUAUAUGGUUAGGAUUUCUAUCAAGUACUAAAUAAUAAAAAUAAUAAUAAAAUCUCUAUGUACUCAUGGGGUAAGAACAAAAAAUACAUGAAUUUUCAUUAUUACCUCCCACUUCUCAUUUAAAAUAUGUUAUUAAAGAAGAAGUUAUGGAAUCCAAUGGCAGUUAAGAAAUAUUCAAAAUAAAACCCUACACUGAAGUGCCUAACUAGCUAAUAUUCAACUCUGGGAAGAGACCAAUACUUACCAAGCAGGACAUUAAUGAGUAUUUAUGAUGAUGUUAAUAUAAUAAUAAACUUAUAUUAAUUGUUCUAGCGGUUUCAUAAGCCCGAGUCGUAAAAUUUACGCACUCGUGAAUUUAAAUCAGGCCAACGGUAAACCUUUUUAUAAAUUUCAAUUCUGCAUUUAUAAUGUGGUCUCGAUGGAAUAAUUGGCGAACUGAAUAUAUUUAGGAUGGAGCCCAAGAUUAUCAAAAGAGCUUGUUUGUCAAAUAUUUGUUUUAAUUUAUAUUUAACAAAAAUCAAAACCAGAAUGAUUAUAAUCCAACAUACGAAGUGAACAUGUUACACGUGGCCAAUUAAUAAAAACUGAAAAUAGCGUGACUAUAAAUCUUCAAUGUAGUUCCUGAAGUUAUCGCUUGUGGCCGUUAGUAAAUCAUAUCCUCGUUUUCGUUGACAGCUUUACGGUUACUUAGUUAUGUUCAUGUAAUAUUUCCCGAAAGAGCUAAUACAUUCGCUGUUCGUGACGCUACAGAUUUGUGAUGAAGAUAAUAAACGAUUAACCCAAAUCAUCUAAAGGAAGUGGACUUGAAAUAGCUGCAUUAUGUCGUGAGAGAAUACAUAUAUACAUAAUGAUUUAAGUAGAUACGAUCCAAAGUACACAUGAUAACUUACGAGAGAUUAAUGACUGCUCAAAUGUACAAAAUAAUGAACGAUGCUUUCAAAAGGCAGCACUCGAGUAGCUAAUAGGAUGUGACACUUUUACGUUAUCAAUAAAAAGAGAAGUGGAGCAGCUUCAUCGAUCCAUGUUUGCUGAUGAAGAGGGCGACUACAGGAAAGAUUGUGAAACUGUGUGACAGUACAUACGUAAUAAAACACAGUGUAGAGACCAUUGGAAAAGGAACACAUACAGAUGGACUUUGUCCUAUUAUUUGAACAUGGCGAUGAAGAUUAGCUCAGUGAUAACGAAUAAAUUAUCGAUUAUAUAUAUUAAGAUAUUUAAGGAAUUAGUAAUAAACUAAUUACAUAUAG